RNAcentral lists this ribosomal RNA (449 nucleotides) under uncultured soil bacterium. Its description in RNAcentral is "bacterial SSU rRNA". It matches the Rfam family "Bacterial small subunit ribosomal RNA", at positions 27 to 522 of the family's 1533-position model. The record is from RNAcentral.
GGAACGAACGCUGGCGGCAUGCCUAAUACGUGCAAGUCGAACGAACACUUCGGUGUUAGUGGCGCACGGGUGCGUAACGCGUGGGAAUCUGCCCUUGGGUUCGGAAUAACAGUUGGAAACGACUGCUAAUACCGGAUGAUGACGAAAGUCCAAAGAUUUAUCGCCCAGGGAUGAGCCCGCGUAGGAUUAGCUAGUUGGUGAGGUAAAGGCUCACCAAGGCGACGAUCCUUAGCUGGUCUGAGAGGAUGAUCAGCCACACUGGGACUGAGACACGGCCCAGACUCCUACGGGAGGCAGCAGUAGGGAAUAUUGGACAAGUGGGCGCAAGCCUGAUCCAGCAAUGCCGCGUGAGUGGUGAAGGCCUUAGGUGUAAAGCUUCGUUUACCCGAGAUGAUAAUGACAGUAUCGGAGAAUAAGCCCGAUAACCGUCCGUUGCCCAGCAAGCCGAC